Molecule: long non-coding RNA, 1939 nt
Filed under: Apis florea (little honeybee)
Lineage: Eukaryota; Metazoa; Arthropoda; Insecta; Hymenoptera; Apidae
Description: uncharacterized LOC116415332
Source: RNAcentral
UAUCGAUUCUUUUCUUUUUAUAUUAUAUCAUAUAAGAAUCUUUGAAUUUAUUAUUAAUAAAAUACACUUUUCCAAAUGUGUCAUUAGCUAAUAAAUAUACAAUCAUCCAGCAUUGGCAGAUCUGUUUUCUAGAGAUAGCACUAAUCUUAGAUCCAAGAAGUAAACGUGAACCACAAGAAAACAACUUUCGAGAUCUUGUCGAUGAAUGCCUAACCUGGAGGAAUAAAGAGAGAAGAGAGUAGGAGUAAAACAGGGAAUGGCAGAGAAAGGAUCUCGAGGAGAGGAAAGAGAAGAGUGAGCCGCCCCCAGCAGAGCACGCAGCCUCCGUGGAUCGCUCUGUCCCACAUCCGACUAUAGUUUACUCCAUAUAAGUUCCUUUCUCUAAUAUCUAAUUGUCUAUAACAUCAUAUACUUUUGAUUUUAAUUUAAUUUUUAAUUUAAUUUAAGAUAAAAAAGAAUGAUGGAUUCUUAGAAUAGAUAAAACUAUUUAGUUUCUCUUUGAUAAGAAUGUUUAAAUCAAAAUUGAUGAUUGAUAGAAGAAUAAGUCAAAAAUAUCGGAUGUAUAUCAAAUCAAACAGCUGUGUGAAUAAAAUAAGAAAAAAUAAGAGUGGACGAGCGAUAACACAGGAGAAGAUGUUGUGUGCUUGGCCCAAAAGGCAGACAAACGCGUCCCCCAACUCCUUAAGUCAAUCAUUUUAUGGGCGUUUCAAGAGACUCGGCAUGUUUUCGUUGCUUUAUUCAAAGCAAAGUGGUCUGACGAGAGAGAGAAUCCUAAGAAGAAGAAAGAGGAAGAGGAAAAAAGAGGAAUAAGAAAGAAACAAAAAGAGAACGGAAGGGGAAAAAAGCGAAGAAGCAAGAAGCCGCCCCCAGCAGAGCACGCAGCCUCCGUCCUAGCUGGUCCUGUCCCACGCACUAUUAUGUUUUAUCAAAUGAAAUGAAAUAACUAUUUAUUGGUAUGUUUGCAUAUUUUUGAUAUUUUGGUUUCCAACUUGGAUCAUUGAUAUUUACAACUAUUUUACUUAUUGUUCUGAAAUCACAAAAUUUAAGAAGAAGAUUAUUCACAGAAGUUAAGGGGAAAUAGUUUGCAAGAAAUCUCUAAUUAUAACUUUUCCAGUUAACGAUGAAAUCUUCAAACCAAGGAAAAUCUGAUGAACUGGCGAUGACCAUCGAUUGGUUUGCUCAUAGUCCCAAAGGAUGGUAACGCGAGUCCUUUUUUGGCGUUCCGACUGACCUAAUUGGGACCACCAUGCUCGUGUCCGCUCAUUCAUCGAUCGCGGCAUGCUACCGCUCGUGUAAUUAACCCGAUUUACUGCGAAAUAGAAAAAGUCAGAGAAAUAGAUUCCAAUAAAAUUAUUAUUUAUUAGAUAAAAAUUCUUUUGAAGAAAAAAACGCUUUAAAUGAUGAACAAGAUACUGGUAUGACUGUUACUUCGAAGGUGACCACAGUGACAUUCAGCAAUGAAAUACGUAAUAAUUUCACCAUGAAUUUUCGAACUUUAUUGCCUCGUAUGAGCAAUGAACAACUUCACGAGUACCCGCAUACAUUAACACCACUACGAACAAAUGUAAGUUUUUUUUUCAAAUAAAACCAAGGUGUGCGCAGAAGGCACGCCAUCGUUCGAUUCUUGACGCGAUGCACAGUUUCGAUGGGAUCAAAUAAAAAGUAUCGUCGUAGACGUGAUUCGAAGGUACUGGACAGUUGGUGGGUAAUUUACAGGACAUUUGGACGGACGUUGGGAAAUAAAUUUCGGUUUUGUCAGCGAGGAUGCGGCGCGCCGUGAAACCAGCCCCAAGCUGGAAUAAAUCUCCGAGCCGCGAUCGUCAUUCCUUCGCGAAUGACAAAUGCGUGCCCGUAUAAAAAGGGAGACGAAGCUCCACGGAGACGAGGAGGUGAAUCAGAAUGGUUGGAUCGAUCUGAACCUCGUUCGAUCGAGUUAAAA